This is a long non-coding RNA of Dipodomys spectabilis (banner-tailed kangaroo rat), 1705 nucleotides long. RefSeq lists it as uncharacterized. The transcript is spliced from 3 exons. NCBI's taxonomy places the organism in Eukaryota, Metazoa, Chordata, Mammalia, Rodentia, Heteromyidae. The record is from RefSeq and is a predicted model, not a curated record.
UGCUCUUCACGGUUCACGGCUUGCCUGCCUGUCUGCCCUUGCAGUGCUCAGGAAUGAGCCGCAUUGGGGGCUCGUGCCUGUAACCCUAGCUGCUCUGCAACCUGAGACAGGAUCACCGUUCACAGCCAGUGUGGAGCCGGUUCGAAGCCAGCUUGAGCAGGAAUUGGUGACGGAAAUGACCGGCCCAUUAGUCACCUCCCGCGCUGCCAGACAUCUCCUUCCCAGACGGCCGAGCGGUGACGCGCCACCACUGCCCAACCUGCAGUGCGAGCUCUCCAAGUUGUCACAGGAAAGAGCUAGAGGACAGGUCAAGGCCAAGACCAAGACCGUACACGGGAAAGCCUGGGACGCCAGGCAGGCCUCACCUGGCACGCCUGCUGGCAGGUGCGAGACGCGUUUCACAUCGCAGGCGUCUACUGUGAAAAGGGCAUGCCUGUCCCUUGGCUGGCUGAGGGGCUGCUGGACCAGCCGUGGCCUCACCGCUACCAUAGUCCUCGGGAGGAAGGAACCUGCGCCGGAGCCCUAGAAGAGAGCGCGGAGCAGCAGGCGAGAGGCUGGAGGCUGCUGGGUCAAAGUUCUGCCGGCCUCAGCUUCCCUCUGCUCCCCCAGGACAGCUCCGCUGCAGAGGGCAUCAUGGCUCAGUGGAAGGGGAAGGCCAACCCACUCAGGACCGCUGACUUUUCCAGCCUGAAGGUGGAGCUCUGAAGGCCGCAGAGGAGAGUCCCACGGGUCAUCCAACCCCUCUCCCAGGGUAGGAAGGAGAAGAGAUAAGGUGGGAAGUGGUGAGGGCGGUCUCUAGCUUCCCAGUUCCAGCGCGGUUACAGAGCCUUGAGGGGUAGGCUGCAGACGCAUUCAAGGGGCUCGCGGAGAGGAGGCCUCGCAUGGUGAGAGUUUAGCACAGGUUUAUAAAGAGCAAAGGAGGAAGCCAUGAGCGAACAGUACAGAUGUGGGAGCAGAGACACUCAGACCUGGAGGGUUGGACAUGGCUCUACCCUUUCCGAGCAGAGUGUUAGGAAAAUGGAGGAGAAAGGAAGGAAAUGGGCUGGACUGGAUCCUCCUCAGGUGAGGCCUGUUUACCGAGAUAGCCCAGCAAGGAGGCAGGCUUCCCGCUUCCCACCACGGGCUUGGAGACUAUGCAAAGACUGGGCUAGGAGUUGGGUGUUUAUCCCGGUCUGAGCAAGGAGACAGGGGUCACAGGAGUUUAGAAUAAAGAGGGGAGGUGGCUGCAGGUGCAGGCAGAGAAUAGGCUAAGUAUUCCCUUAUCCAGGGCCUCAAGCUUUUUUAAUGUUCAAACAGCUCUACGUCUGUCUGGCCUGGACGGUUGGACCUUGGCAGGCUACAGUUCUGUCUUCCAAGCUCUUAACCGUUUCCUGGCCUCCCAGCCAGGGUCUUUCAGGCCAGGCCCACCCCAGGCUCAGGUGAUCGGAUUGCCCGCCUGUGUCGGGCAGCCUGUGCCUGUCUUUGGUGGCUUUCCUGACGUCUGUGUGCACCUGGGAACACAGCGUGGGGGUCAACCUGUCAUAGUCCAUCUUUGGAUGCCCAGAACAGGCCGAGGGCGGGGAGGCAGGCCCUUCGAGGAGGAAUGCCACCCCAAUUAUUCCGCAGUGUGUCAGCCCAAAUCUGCCCAAGAUAUGUCUCAUUACUAUCCCAAAGCAAGGAGAUGUGACCUAGGUUUAUCCAAAACACAGCAUCAAUAGAUGUGAGU